RNAcentral lists this ribosomal RNA (253 nucleotides) under uncultured bacterium. Its description in RNAcentral is "partial 16S ribosomal RNA". It matches the Rfam family "Bacterial small subunit ribosomal RNA", at positions 524 to 776 of the family's 1533-position model. The record is from RNAcentral.
UACGUAGGGUGCAAGCGUUAAUCGGAAUUAUUGGGCGUAAAGAGCUCGUAGGCGGUUUGUCGCGUCUGCUGUGAAAACUCGGGGCUUAACUCCGGGCCUGCAGUGGGUACGGGCAGACUAGAGUGCGGUAGGGGAGACUGGAAUUCCUGGUGUAGCGGUGGAAUGCGCAGAUAUCAGGAGGAACACCGGUGGCGAAGGCGGGUCUCUGGGCAGUAACUGACGCUGAGGAGCGAAAGCGUGGGGAGCGAACAGG